This 437-nucleotide ribosomal RNA is filed under the name uncultured bacterium. Its description in RNAcentral is "partial 16S ribosomal RNA". It matches the Rfam family "Bacterial small subunit ribosomal RNA", at positions 29 to 507 of the family's 1533-position model. The record is from RNAcentral.
AGCGAACGCUGGCGGCAGGCUUAACACAUGCAAGUCGAGCGGGCAUCCUUGUGGUGUCAGCGGCAGACGGGUGAGUAACGCGUGUGAACGUGCCCUUCGGUUCGGAAUAACUCAGGGAAACUUGAGCUAAUACCGGAUACGUGCGAGAGCAGAAAGGUUUAUCUGCCGAAGUAGCGGCCCGCGUCUGAUUAGCUAGUUGGUUAGGUUAUGGCUCACCAAGGCGACAAUCAGUAGCUGGUCUGAGAGGAUGAUCAGCCACACUGGCACUGAGACGCAGCACAGAAUCCUACGGGAGGCAGGAGUGGGGAAUAGUGGAAAACCGGGGCAACCCUGAUCCAGCCAGGCCCGGUGAGUGAUGUCGGCCUUAGGGUUGUAAAGCGCUUUUCUCCGGGACGAUAAUGACGGUACCGGAGGAAUAAGCCCCGGCUAACUUCGUG